This 3327-nucleotide unclassified non-coding RNA is filed under the name Neodiprion lecontei (redheaded pine sawfly). RNAcentral's name for it is "zinc finger CCHC domain-containing protein 10, transcript variant X2". Lineage: Eukaryota; Metazoa; Arthropoda; Insecta; Hymenoptera; Diprionidae. The record is from RNAcentral.
UCUGUUCAAUGUUUUCUUUUGUUGUUUUUUUUUCCUGUCGUGCUGUUACAUCCUUCCUGCCGAAAGCUUUGGAAACGAAUAUGCAACAGGGCACAUUCCAGAGGGGGAUAGAGGAGUAAAAUAAAUAAAUAAAUAACCAUUAGGAAGAAGAACCUGACCCAAUCAACCCAAGACGAUUCUGUAGUAGGUUGGAAACGUGUUGUUUGUUGUUCAAACAAAAAUAAUCAAGCACCGUAAUGAGCGCGUACGGUAUGAAGCUAAUGAAAAAAACAUAUCCUUACCCAGCAUCUGUGCGUUGUCAAAAGUGUUUGGAAAUGGGUCACUGGAGUUAUGAGUGCAAAGGCAAGAGGAAAUACGUUCACAGAUCUUCACGAACUACGCAAUUAAAAAAGGCAAUAAAACAGCAAGAGGUGGAAAAAUUGGAGCCAGAGAUGACCAGUGAAACUGUGAAACAGAAAAAAAAAAUUAGAAAGGAAUCAAGUAGUACAAGUGAUUCAGAUAGCUCAAGCACAGAUAGUAGUAGUUCAGACAGUUCUUCCUCCGAUGAUUCGGAUUCCAGUGACAGCUCAUCUAGCUCGAGUAGUAGCAGUGGUAGUAGUAGCAGCACCUCAUCCAGUUCAUCAAGCAGAGAUUCUAGUUCCAGCGAAGGUACCAAAUCCAGUAAAGCAAAAAAAACGAAAAAAUAAUGAAAAAAAAAUGAAGUUUUUGGAUAAACAAAUCAAGCCUUGUGCAAAAGGAUUGACGAGUAGCAAAGUAGAAAUGCGUCAAAAGGUUCCAUUUACAUUUUUAAAUGUAUGGAAUCUCAUAUCAUCGACAAUCUAUUUUUUAUCACUUUUUUUACCAUUGAAUAACUUCAUAGUUAUUUUACUACUAUUAAUGUAUUACUUAAGGACUUAAAUAUAAUAAUGCUAUGUCAACUAAUCAUAAGGAAAAAAAGUAUAUUUAAAUGAGUAAAUUUGAAAUAUUUGCUAUCUGCACUAUUAUUAUUUAUUUAAAUUCCAAAUUUCUAAAAGACAUUUAUUUAUUUUCCAUAUGACCAUUAGGCUUCUUUGUUUGGUUAAUAACGUGACUGUCAACAGAACAUUUACAUACUAUGCCAUCAUUAUAGUUGGUCAAAUGCCUGUUAGUAUGUGCCCGCAGACAUUCAAUAAUCUCGAAACGUACAAGGCUGUAGAUACUAAUUGGUGAUACAAACUAUAAUAUUUGUCAUGAACUAGGGGCUUUGCUCCUGCUUGCAUCGCAUAUCGUUCUGUUGUGGAAAAUGGAUAGUUCGUAAAUGUACUCGUCAAAUUGUAUCGUGAGCAGUCUGGCAAUAUGAAAAUUGUAGCCUACCAUCCCCACCAUUACUCUACUGAAUUUACCAAGGAAAACCCAGCUGAAACGAGGAUGGAGAUGAAUGAAUAAAUUACCAAUUUUGUUUAUUUCUCAGUCCCCUGGAGCAAUGGGGUGAUAAGACAGAGCCUGUGUUAGUUUGAUAAUCAUAAGAAUGAUAUUGGUAACCCAUUAAAAAUCAGUCUAGCAGUUUUUUAUUUAUACUGCACACAUAUGCAGCUGUCUCAUUAUCAUACUAAUAUUAGCACAACAUUGUUCAUUUCUUGAAAAUGUUAUGAGAUCCCGUUUAUGCAGCAUGAAAAUACAAUUCCUUUUAUAUACAUAUUAUAUAAUGGGAUAAUUUUUCUCCAAUUCUUCGUUAAAAUAUAUUCUAUACAAAAGAAUAUUGUUAGUCUCUUAGCCAAGCGUAAUCUUAUCUUAGGUUCCGAUUUUCGAAUCUAAAAGCUAUUAUGUAUAUUGGUCAGCAGCUACUUCAUAGAAUCAGCCAUGUAGGAUCCUAUAUAAUAACCAUACCAAAAUAUCAUGUAAAUAUAUGGCAUACAGAGAGCUACAGGGACUCAUCAGACAAGAUACUAUUCAAAUCCAUACAUCUGUUUGUAAAAUAUUACAACUCACUAAUGAGUUGCAAAGAAUGUAUAUUAUUUUUUCAUGAUCUUAAGCAUUGUUCAAACUGAUCUGUUACACAUAUCAAAUCAAUCAGUAACGAGUUCAGCAUUUUCGUUGAAAGUUUGAUAAUCAAAUAUUUCAACAGUUUCAGUUGCGCAUGCAUUUUUCAAGACAAAAAAAUGGUUUGUGAAAGAAAUAUAUCACAACUCUUGGGAAGUUGUAAUAUUCCGAGUGACUUUACAUGACCUGACUAUACCAGAAGUUUCCUACAAUGCCUCAUCCAAUAUCCUUGUUAUGUUAAUGGCGAACGUUUAUGGUUUGGCAGGUGUCAAACAGAUUAAGAAAUUCUUGCAGAUAAUCGGUACAUGCAUUACUUCAAAGUACCGUUGUUUUGGUAAAAAUCGUAGUUUCAAACAAGUCCAUGUAAACAAAGCUCCAUUAAUUUUAUGAUGAGGAAUAUUGAUGUCUUCGAUAUCUCGGUGUUUCGGUAUUUCAGUAUCAGUAUUGCAAGAUCAUGCUGAUGCCGUUAUAUUGUGCAAAGAAAUUACCAAACAAUCUUCGGUAUACCUUUUUCCAUAUGAUAUCAACUGACCAGAAGUCACAGCAUGAUGGGUGUCCACCAGGGAUUGACAGUGGUGUUCUCUUGGCAGUGAGCAAAGGCUACAAAUACAUUGAAGAGCUACCACCAUAAGCCUGUUCUCCAUCCAGAUGUAGACAAAUAUAUUGAGUUGAUAUUUAGAGAUCUAAUUGUGACAGUUACAAUGCUAUGACAGAAGAUACACACCAAAUUCAAACGGGAGCUUCAACAACGUACUUUGGUAAUAGCACCCGAGAUCAACCAUAGCAGUUCACACAUUGGAAACAUUGCCGCUAAUACAGCGACAUGAAUUUUUAACUCCGGAACCAAAUUAAAAGGAAAGCUGAUUGGUACUGCGAAGUAGACGAUGAGGAGCACAUUCAUAUCAACCAAAUUGAAACUAAACAGGCGACCCGUGAAGAGGAAUUCAGUGUAAAUAGAUGAACCGACUGCACGGAUUCCUGGAUCCAUGAGGAAUACGUUUUACGCUGGACAAGAUAACAGUGAUUCCAGAAAAUGGGUUCCUGUAAAAAAAAAAAAAUUUAUACAUGCACCUGCAUGUAUACGGCUUUCAAAUGAAAAAAUCUGAUUCAAAUGGAAUUAUUAGCUUAUGAGAUAAACAUUCCCGAAAUUGCUCUUGCGGUCUACUGGUACAUUACCCCUUGAUAAUCUCCAUCAGUCUCCAGUAAAAAUACUUCUUUUAUAUCAAAAUUAUAGCAGUGUUAUAGAUAGCAAAAAUAACUCUGUAUUAAUUACUACGCGUUGAUGGGAUGAUAAUAAAUUCAAUUCUUGAACAUCAUAAUGCUACAAUA